CUUCCCGAGCGCGCCGCCUCCUGAUUGGCUGCCAGAGCUCUGGUCUUGUCUCGCGCUUCCUGGACGGGCCAAUGGAGUUACCCGUAGUCUAAAGGCCAGGAUCGCUGGAGUGGUGGCGCAGCUGUUUCCUUCGGAUAUACAUCAAAUUUUAAGAAGAAAGAAAAUCAGGAGCUAAGGAUUCUGUUUAAACCUAUAGUUGCUGCUCAGAAAAUAAGGAUGCAGACUCCAAAUUGUUGGUUUACAUGUGCUUCAAGCAAGAGCAGUAUACUAAAGGAGAGAAGUAAGCUGUGUUGAUCAGUGACUUUGGUGAAAACUGAGAUAACUGAAACGAAUUUGCAGAUGAUACAUGACUUCUAAGGUGAGGCAGAACAUCAUAGCAAGAAGUCUUGGAGAAGGAGAGCUGCUGCAUUCAUGGCAGCCAGGAAGCAGAGGAGGAGAAAGAAGAAGGGAACACAAGGGAAGAGACAUACUUCCAUGGCAUAGCCCCAGUGAUCCACCACCUCCAGCUAUGCUCUGCCUGCCUACAGAUAGACCAUUCAAACUAGGGUGGACUAGCAGGUAUGGUGGUGCAGGUUUAUAAUACCAGCAAUUUG
Ictidomys tridecemlineatus (thirteen-lined ground squirrel) is the source of this 593-nucleotide non-coding RNA. The record is from RefSeq and is a predicted model, not a curated record. Lineage: Eukaryota; Metazoa; Chordata; Mammalia; Rodentia; Sciuridae.